Molecule: non-coding RNA, 238 nt
Organism: Camellia sinensis
Lineage: Eukaryota; Viridiplantae; Streptophyta; Magnoliopsida; Ericales; Theaceae
Source: RefSeq, a predicted model, not a curated record
AUUGUGAUUACAGAGGAGCCAGAGUGGAAAGACUGUAUUCAAGGUUCAAAUGCUGUUGUAAAUUUGGCUGGAAUGCCCAUAAGUACAAGAUGGUCUCCUGAGGGAGAAACUGAGCCUGGGGCAAAACACUUCUCUUGAUGAUGAUUUAUCAGACAGACUUAUGCCACUGGGACUCAGUUGUUGAUCAACAGUUUAGAUAACUAUAAAGAACAAAAUGACAGCAAAGAACAGGACCUAG